CUUGAUGAAGUUGCUAACAAUAAGCCCACUCUUGGACAAAAAUGUUAAAGUAGAAACUCCUCAGAAGUUAGGUGCUGAUGGCAAGAAAGGUGGUGCUGUUCGUCAAGGUACUCCUUACCCCAAGGGAGGAAAGACCCCUGCAAGUGGAGGCAAGUCAAACAAAUCUCUACUAGGGCAUUCGGUACAAUUCACAGUUGAGAACCGCAAUAGGUUUGGGUGUCUAUUAGUUUGUUCAGACACUUACUUUUUGGUGCCUAGGAAGUUUGUUUU
Molecule: long non-coding RNA, 270 nt
Organism: Papaver somniferum (opium poppy)
Lineage: Eukaryota; Viridiplantae; Streptophyta; Magnoliopsida; Ranunculales; Papaveraceae
Exons: 3
Source: RefSeq, a predicted model, not a curated record